GAGUUUGAUCCUGGCUCAGAAUGAAGGGGGGCGGCGUGCCUAAUACAUGCAAGUCGAACGAGAGUCCUUCGGGACUCUAGUGGCGAACGGGUGAGUAACACAUGAACAACCUACCCUGACGACUGGGAUAACAGUUUGAAAAGACUGCUAAUACCGGAUAGGUAACGGAGGGACAUCCUUCUGUUAUUAAAGUUGGGAUACAACACGACAGGAUGGGUUCAUGUCGCAUUAGCUAGUUGGCGGGGUAACGGCCCACCAAGGCGAUGAUGCGUAGCCGAUCUGAGAGGAUGAACGGCCACAUUGGGACUGAGACACGGCCCAGACUCCUACGGGAGGCAGCAGUAGGGAAUUUUCGGCAAUGGGCGGAAGCCUGACCGAGCAACGCCGCGUGAACGAAGACGGUCUUUGGAUUGUAAAGUUCUGUUACGAGGGAAGAACGGCAGUGAUAGGGAAUGAUCACUGAGUGACGGUACCUCGCCAGAAAGCCACGGCUAACUACGUGCCAGCAGCCGCGGUAAUACGUAGGUGGCAAGCGUUAUCCGGAAUCAUUGGGCGUAAAGGGUGCGUAGGCGGCUUAUUAAGUCUGUAGUGAAAUCGUAGAGCUCAACUCUAUCAAGCUACGGAAACUGGUAAGCUAGAGUGCGGUAGAGGCUAGUGGAAUUCCAUGUGUAGCGGUAAAAUGCGUAGAUAUAUGGAGGAACACCGGUGGCGAAGGCGGCUAGCUGGGCCGUAACUGACGCUGAGGCACGAAAGCGUGGGGAGCAAAUAGGAUUAGAUACCCUAGUAGUCCACGCCGUAAACGAUGAAUACUAAGUGUUGGAGAAAUUCAGUGCUGCAGUUAACGCAAUAAGUAUUCCGCCUGGGGAGUAUGCACGCAAGUGUGAAACUCAAAGGAAUUGACGGGGACCCGCACAAGCAGCGGAGCAUGUGGUUUAAUUCGAAGCAACGCGAAGAACCUUACCAGGGCUUGACAUCCCUCUGACCGGCCUGAUAACGAAGGCCUUUCUUCGGACAGAGGAGACAGGUGGUGCAUGGUUGUCGUCAGCUCGUGUCGUGAGAUGUUGGGUUAAGUCCCGCAACGAGCGCAACCCUUGUCUUUAGUUGCCAUCAUUCAGUUGGGCACUCUAAAGAGACCGCCGGGGACAACUCGGAGGAAGGUGGGGAUGACGUCAAAUCAUCAUGCCCCUUAUGUUCUGGGCUACACACGUGCUACAAUGGUCGGUACAAAGAGCAGCAAGACCGCGAGGUGGAGCAAAUCUCAAAAACCGAUCCCAGUUCGGAUUGCAGGCUGCAACUCGCCUGCAUGAAGUCGGAGUUGCUAGUAAUCGUGGAUCAGAAUGCCACGGUGAAUGCGUUCCCGGGUCUUGUACACACCGCCCGUCACACCAUGGAAGUUGGGGGCGCCCGAAGUUGGACAGAAAAUAGUUUACCUAAGGCGAAAUCAAUGACUGGGGUGAAGUCGUAACAAGGUAACC
RNAcentral lists this ribosomal RNA (1475 nucleotides) under uncultured rumen bacterium. RNAcentral's name for it is "bacterial SSU rRNA". It matches the Rfam family "Bacterial small subunit ribosomal RNA". The record is from RNAcentral.